GGUUUGAUUAUGGCUCAGAUUGAACGCUGGCGGGAUGUACUUUACACAUGCAGGUCGAACGGCAGCACGGACUUCGGUCUGGUGGCGAGUGACGAACGGGUGAGUAAUGUAUCGGAACGUGCCUAGUAGCGGGGGAUAACUACGCGAAAGCGUAGCUAAUACCACAUACGCCCUUCGGGGGAAAGCGGGGGACCUUCCCGGGCCUCGCACUAUUAGAGCGGCCGAUAUCGGAUUAGCUU
Molecule: unclassified non-coding RNA, 239 nt
Filed under: uncultured Bordetella sp.
Lineage: Bacteria; Pseudomonadati; Pseudomonadota; Betaproteobacteria; Burkholderiales; Alcaligenaceae
Description: partial 16S-23S ribosomal RNA intergenic spacer
Rfam family: Bacterial small subunit ribosomal RNA
Source: RNAcentral